UGCCAGACUCCUACGGGAGGCAGCAGUGGGGGAUAUUGCACAAUGGGGGGAACCCUGAUGCAGCGACGCCGCGUGGGUGAAGGAGUGCUUCGGCAUGUAAAGCCCUAUCGGCAGGGAAGAAGCAAGACGGUACCUGACUAAGAAGCCCCGGCUAACUACGUGCCAGCAGCCGCGGGAAUACGUAGGGGGCAAGCGUUAUCCGGAUUUACUGGGUGUAAAGGGGGCGCAGACGGCGAUGCAAGCCAGGAGUGAAAGCCCGGGGCCCAACCCCGGGACUGCUCUUGGAACUGCGUGGCUGGAGUGCAGGAGGGGCAGGCGGAAUUCCUGGUGUAGCGGUGAAAUGCGUAGAUAUCAGGAGGAACACCGGUGGCGAAGGCGGCCUGCUGGACUGCAACUGACGUUGAGGCCCGAAAGCGUGGGGAGCAAACAGGAUUAGAUACCCGCGUACC
This 449-nucleotide ribosomal RNA is filed under the name uncultured bacterium. RNAcentral describes it as "bacterial SSU rRNA". It matches the Rfam family "Bacterial small subunit ribosomal RNA", at positions 329 to 794 of the family's 1533-position model. The record is from RNAcentral.